This 67-nucleotide transfer RNA is filed under the name Marmota monax (woodchuck). Its description in RNAcentral is "tRNA.Gly". It matches the Rfam family "tRNA", at positions 6 to 65 of the family's 71-position model. From Rfam's summary of the family: Transfer RNA (tRNA) molecules are approximately 80 nucleotides in length. Their secondary structure includes four short double-helical elements and three loops (D, anti-codon, and T loops). Further hydrogen bonds mediate the characteristic L-shaped molecular structure. tRNAs have two regions of fundamental functional importance: the anti-codon, which is responsible for specific mRNA codon recognition, and the 3' end, to which the tRNAs corresponding amino acid is attached (by aminoacyl-tRNA synthetases). tRNAs cope with the degeneracy of the genetic code in two manners: having more than one tRNA (with a specific anti-codon) for a particular amino acid; and 'wobble' base-pairing, i.e. permitting non-standard base-pairing at the 3rd anti-codon position. The record is from RNAcentral. Lineage: Eukaryota; Metazoa; Chordata; Mammalia; Rodentia; Sciuridae.
GGCUGUGGCUCAGAGGUAGAGUGCUCACCUACCAUGUGUGAGGCACUGGGUUCGAUCCCCAGCACCA